Molecule: ribosomal RNA, 494 nt
Filed under: uncultured bacterium
Lineage: Bacteria
Description: partial 16S ribosomal RNA
Rfam family: Bacterial small subunit ribosomal RNA
Source: RNAcentral
GACGAACGCUGGCGGCGUGCUUAACACAUGCAAGUCGAACGGUGAAGCGCCUUCCUUUUUGGUGGGUGUGGAUGAGUGGCGAACGGGUGAGUAACACGUGAGUAACCUGCCCCCUUCUUCUGGAUAACCGCAUGAAAGUGUGGCUAAUACGGGAUAUUCUGGGUCUGUCGCAUGAUGGGUCUGGGAAAGAUAUUGUUUCGGUGGGGGAUGGGCUCGCGGCCUAUCAGCUUGUUGGUGGGGUGAUGGCCUACCAAGGCGGUGACGGGUAGCCGGCCUGAGAGGGUGGACGGUCACACUGGGACGGAGACACGGCCCAGACUCCUACGGGAGGCAGCAGUGGGGAAUAGUGCACAAUGGGCGCAAGCCUGUUGCAGCGACGCCGCGUGAGGGAUGGAGGCCUGCGGGUUGUGAACCUCUUUCGCCAGUGAAGCAGGCCUGCCUCGUUUGUGGGUGGGUUGACGGUAGCUGGAUAAGAAGCGCCGGCUAACUACGUG